GCCCCGGUGGCCAAACGGAUAAGGCAGCGAGCUUCUACCUCGCCGAUUGGGGGUUCGACUCCCUCCCGGGGCGCCA
Molecule: transfer RNA, 76 nt
Filed under: Microlunatus elymi
Lineage: Bacteria; Bacillati; Actinomycetota; Actinomycetes; Propionibacteriales; Propionibacteriaceae
Description: Microlunatus sp. KUDC0627 tRNA-Arg
Rfam family: tRNA
About the family: Transfer RNA (tRNA) molecules are approximately 80 nucleotides in length. Their secondary structure includes four short double-helical elements and three loops (D, anti-codon, and T loops). Further hydrogen bonds mediate the characteristic L-shaped molecular structure. tRNAs have two regions of fundamental functional importance: the anti-codon, which is responsible for specific mRNA codon recognition, and the 3' end, to which the tRNAs corresponding amino acid is attached (by aminoacyl-tRNA synthetases). tRNAs cope with the degeneracy of the genetic code in two manners: having more than one tRNA (with a specific anti-codon) for a particular amino acid; and 'wobble' base-pairing, i.e. permitting non-standard base-pairing at the 3rd anti-codon position.
Source: RNAcentral